AAACACAUGCAAGUCGAACGAUGAACCACUUCGGUGGGGAUUAGUGGCGAACGGGUGAGUAACACGUGGGCAAUCUGCCCUUCACUCUGGGACAAGCCCUGGAAACGGGGUCUAAUACCGGAUACAACCGCCGGCCGCAUGGUCUGGUGGUGGAAAGCUCCGGCGGUGAAGGAUGAGCCCGCGGCCUAUCAGCUUGUUGGUGAGGUAGAGGCUCACCAAGGCGACGACGGGUAGCCGGCCUGAGAGGGCGACCGGCCACACUGGGACUGAGACACGGCCCAGACUCCUACGGGAGGCAGCAGUGGGGAAUAUUGCACAAUGGGCGCAAGCCUGAUGCAGCGACGCCGCGUGAGGGAUGACGGCCUUCGGGUUGUAAACCUCUUUCAGCAGGGAAGAAGCGAGA
This 403-nucleotide ribosomal RNA is filed under the name Streptomyces sp. RNAcentral's name for it is "bacterial SSU rRNA". It matches the Rfam family "Bacterial small subunit ribosomal RNA", at positions 49 to 455 of the family's 1533-position model. The record is from RNAcentral. Lineage: Bacteria; Bacillati; Actinomycetota; Actinomycetes; Kitasatosporales; Streptomycetaceae.